Molecule: long non-coding RNA, 857 nt
Filed under: Bemisia tabaci
Lineage: Eukaryota; Metazoa; Arthropoda; Insecta; Hemiptera; Aleyrodidae
Description: lncRNA ENSSSA1NGG014027
Source: RNAcentral
CUUUUUAUCUAGUUUAGACCGUUCAGUGGCCCACCCCAAGUAGCAUUUUCAACGGAAAAAUCGCGAUAUGUUGCGAUUUUAUCGGCGAUAAAAUCGCUAGGAUCAUCAACAUCUGAGCGAUUAUCUUCGACCUUAUCGCGAUAAAAUCGCGAUUUUUUCGCCCGGCAAUUUAUCGCGAUAUUUUCGACUUAAAAAUCGCGAUAUAUGGCGAUUUAAUCUCGAUUUUAUCGACCAAAAUUGAUCGCAAUUUUAUUGAACAAAAAAUUGCGAUGCAUAUAGCGAUUUAAUCGCCGUAAAUCGCAAUUUUUAUUCGAUAAUAUUGCAAUAAAUUUCCACCGAUAUAAUCGCGAUAAUCAACCGAUAAAAUUGCUAUUUAUCGCGAUCACUGCUACUUGGGGAUGUCCUUUAUUGGGGCGAUGAAUCAAUACAGUGAUUGUUCUUAUGUUUGCACAGCCAUGUUCAAAGGUGUUGUGGCGACUCUCCUGAAUCGCUAUUUUGGAAAAUACGUCGAAGAUCUCGACAUCGAGAAUUUGAACGUGGGAUUUUCAGCGGCGACGUGCAGCUCCAAAACCUCAAACUGAAACCAGAGGCUUUUUAUGAGCUGGAAUUACCGAUUGAAGUGAAGGUCGGACUCAUCGAGAAAGUGUCCGUCAAUAUACCGUGGACUGGGUUCCAGACGAGUUCAAUUAAAGUACUAAUAGAGGGUGUUUAUAUAAUCGUCGGACCUGUGACGGACAGACCUUACGACUCUGAAAAGGAUAAAAGGUUGCUACGGGCCUUUAAAAGAAGGAAGAUAGAACUCCUUGAGGAUGAAAAUCUACUUGGAACAGAUGCACCGGAAACCAAAAAUUUCCUCG